GAUGAACGCUGGCGGCGUGCUUAACACAUGCAAGUCGAACGGAAAGGCUCCUGCUUGCAGGGGUACUCGAGUGGCGAACGGGUGAGUAACACGUGGGUGAUCUGCCCUGCACUUCGGGAUAAGCCUGGGAAACUGGGUCUAAUACCGGAUAGGACGAUGGUUUGGAUGCCAUUGUGGAAAGUUUUUUCGGUGUGGGAUGAGCUCGCGGCCUAUCCGCUUUUUGGUGGGGUAAUGGCCUACCAAGGCGUCGACGGGUAGCCGGCCUGGGAGGGUGUACGGCGACAUUGGGACUGAGAUACGGCCCAGACUCCUACGGGAGGCAGCAGUGGGGAAUAUUGCACAAUGGGCGCAAGCCUGAUGCAGCGACGCCGCGUGGGGGAUGACGGCCUUCGGGUUGUAAACUCCUUUCGCUAGGGACGAAGCGAAAGUGACGGUACCUGGAGAAGAAGCACCGGCUAACUACGUG
Molecule: ribosomal RNA, 466 nt
Filed under: uncultured bacterium
Lineage: Bacteria
Description: partial 16S ribosomal RNA
Rfam family: Bacterial small subunit ribosomal RNA
Source: RNAcentral